GAAAGGGGAGGGGGCGGCGGCGGCAGAGGCGGCAUCGUUAUUUCCGUGGUCCGGACAGUGCGUGGCGGCGCGGGUGACCACGGGAGAAGUAGGCAUAAUGGUUAUGAAAGCUUCUGUAGAUGAUGACGAUUCAGGAUGGGAGCUCAGUAUGCCGGAAAAAAUGGAAAAAAGCAAUACAAACUGGGUGGACAUUACCCAAGAUUUUGAAGAAGCUUGUCGAGAAUUAAAGUUGGGAGAACUACUUCAUGAUAAGCUAUUUGGUCUUUUUGAAGCCAUGUCUGCUAUUGAAAUGAUGGAUCCCAAGAUGGAUGCUGGCAUGAUUGGAAACCAAGUUAAUCGAAAAGUUCUCAAUUUUGAACAAGCUAUCAAGGAUGGCACUAUUAAAAUUAAAGAUCUCACCUUGCCUGAACUGAUAGGGAUUAUGGAUACAUGUUUUUGCUGUUUGAUAACAUGGUUAGAAGGCCAUUCGUUGGCACAGACAGUAUUUACGUGCCUUUACAUUCAUAAUCCAGACUUUAUAGAAGAUCCUGCUAUGAAGGCUUUUGCUCUGGGAAUCUUGAAAAUCUGUGACAUUGCAAGGGAAAAAGUAAAUAAAGCUGCUGUUUUUGAAGAGAUUUCGCGGCUCCUAGAACUGAUUGAUUUUCAUGAAUAUAAUUUUAAAAAUGAAAAUGUUCAAUGUUGGAAGGAAUG
Molecule: small RNA, 690 nt
Filed under: Pongo abelii (Sumatran orangutan)
Lineage: Eukaryota; Metazoa; Chordata; Mammalia; Primates; Hominidae
Description: processed transcript
Source: RNAcentral